Molecule: small nuclear RNA, 107 nt
Organism: Meriones unguiculatus (Mongolian gerbil)
Lineage: Eukaryota; Metazoa; Chordata; Mammalia; Rodentia; Muridae
Source: Ensembl
GAACUAGCUUUGGCAGCACGUAUACUGAAAUUGUAACAAUACAGAGAAGAUUACCAUGGUUCUUGAACAAGGAUGACAUGCAAAUUCCUGUAGUGUUCCACUUGUUU